This 665-nucleotide ribosomal RNA is filed under the name uncultured bacterium. RNAcentral's name for it is "bacterial SSU rRNA". It matches the Rfam family "Bacterial small subunit ribosomal RNA", at positions 107 to 768 of the family's 1533-position model. The record is from RNAcentral.
UGAGUAAUAUAUCGGAACGUGCCCAGUAGCGGGGGAUAACUACUCGAAAGAGUAGCUAAUACCGCAUACGCCCUACGGGGGAAAGGGGGGGAUCGCAAGACCUCUCACUAUUGGAGCGGCCGAUAUCGGAUUAGCUAGUUGGUGGGGUAAAGGCCCACCAAGGCGACGAUCCGUAGCUGGUUUGAGAGGACGACCAGCCACACUGGGACUGAGACACGGCCCAGACUCCUACGGGAGGCAGCAGUGGGGAAUUUUGGACAAUGGGGGAAACCCUGAUCCAGCCAUUCCGCGUGUGCGAUGAAGGCCUUCGGGUUGUAAAGCACUUUUGGCAGGAAAGAAAUCGCACAAAUUAAUACUUUGUGUGGAUGACGGUACCUGCAGAAUAAGCACCGGCUAACUACGUGCCAGCAGCCGCGGUAAUACGUAGGGUGCAAGCGUUAAUCGGAAUUACUGGGCGUAAAGCGUGCGCAGGCGGUUCGGAAAGAGAGGUGUGAAAUCCCAGGGCUUAACCUUGGAACUGCACUUUUAACUCCCGAGCUAGAGUAUGUCAGAGGGGGGUGGAAUUCCGCGUGUAGCAGUGAAAUGCGUAGAUAUGCGGAGGAACACCGAUGGCGAAGGCAGCCCCCUGGGAUAAUACUGACGCUCAUGCACGAAAGCGUGGGGAG